GAUUAACGCUGGCGGCGUGCAUAACACAUGCAAGUCGAACGAUGAAACUUUUUUGAUUUCUUCGGAAUGAUUAAAAGUGGAUUAGUGGCGGACGGGUGAGUAACGCGUGAGUAACCUGCCUUAGAGAAGGGGAUAGCCUUUGGAAACGAAGAAUAAUACCCUAUGAAACCAUAACCUCGCAUGAGGAAUUGGUCAAAGAUUUAUCGCUCUAAGAUGGACUUGCGUCUGAUUAGUUAGUUGGUGGGGUAACGGCCCACCAAGACAGCGAUCAGUAGCCGGCUUGAGAGAGUGUACGGCCACAUUGGGACUGAGACACGGCCCAGACUCCUACGGGAGGCAGCAGUGGGGAAUUUUGCACAAUGGGGGAAACCCUGAUGCAGCGACGCCGCGUGAUUUAGAAGGCCUUCGGGUUGUAAAAAUCUUUUCUAUGGGAAGAAAAUGACAGUACCAUAGGAAUAAGGACCGGCUAAUUACGUG
Molecule: ribosomal RNA, 477 nt
Filed under: uncultured bacterium
Lineage: Bacteria
Description: partial 16S ribosomal RNA
Rfam family: Bacterial small subunit ribosomal RNA
Source: RNAcentral